AUGAGAGUUUGAUCCUGGCUCAGGACGAACGCUGGCGGCGUGCCUAAUACAUGCAAGUCGAACGCUUCUUUCCUCCCGAGUGCUUGCACUCAAUUGGAAAGAGGAGUGGCGGACGGGUGAGUAACACGUGGGUAACCUACCCAUCAGAGGGGGAUAACACUUGGAAACAGGUGCUAAUACCGCAUAACAGUUUAUGCCGCAUGGCAUAAGAGUGAAAGGCGCUUUCGGGUGUCGCUGAUGGAUGGACCCGCGGUGCAUUAGCUAGUUGGUGAGGUAACGGCUCACCAAGGCCACGAUGCAUAGCCGACCUGAGAGGGUGAUCGGCCACACUGGGACUGAGACACGGCCCAGACUCCUACGGGAGGCAGCAGUAGGGAAUCUUCGGCAAUGGACGAAAGUCUGACCGAGCAACGCCGCGUGAGUGAAGAAGGUUUUCGGAUCGUAAAACUCUGUUGUUAGAGAAGAACAAGGACGUUAGUAACUGAACGUCCCCUGACGGUAUCUAACCAGAAAGCCACGGCUAACUACGUGCCAGCAGCCGCGGUAAUACGUAGGUGGCAAGCGUUGUCCGGAUUUAUUGGGCGUAAAGCGAGCGCAGGCGGUUUCUU
RNAcentral lists this ribosomal RNA (608 nucleotides) under Enterococcus faecalis. RNAcentral describes it as "bacterial SSU rRNA". It matches the Rfam family "Bacterial small subunit ribosomal RNA", at positions 1 to 584 of the family's 1533-position model. The record is from RNAcentral. Lineage: Bacteria; Bacillati; Bacillota; Bacilli; Lactobacillales; Enterococcaceae.